AGCGAACGCUGGCGGCAGGCCUAACACAUGCAAGUCGAACGGAUCCUUCGGGAUUAGUGGCGGACGGGUGAGUAACACGUGGGAACGUGCCCUUUGGUUCGGAACAACUCAGGGAAACUUGAGCUAAUACCAGAUGUGCCCUUCGGGGGAAAGAUUUAUCGCCAUUGGAGCGGCCCGCGUCUGAUUAGCUAGUUGGUGAGGUAAAGGCUCACCAAGGCGACGAUCAGUAGCUGGUCUGAGAGGAUGAGAAGCCACAUUGGGACUGAGACACGGCCCAAAAUCCUACGGGAGGCAGCAGUGGGGAAUCUUGCGCAAUGGGCGAAAGCCUGACGCAGCCAUGCCGCGUGAAUGAUGAAGGUCUUAGGAUUGUAAAAUUCUUUCACCGGGGACGAUAAUGACGGUACCCGGAGAAGAAGCCCCGGCUAACUUCGUGCCAGCCGCCGCAGUAA
This 449-nucleotide ribosomal RNA is filed under the name uncultured bacterium. RNAcentral's name for it is "partial 16S ribosomal RNA". It matches the Rfam family "Bacterial small subunit ribosomal RNA", at positions 29 to 523 of the family's 1533-position model. The record is from RNAcentral.